This 670-nucleotide small RNA is filed under the name Pongo abelii (Sumatran orangutan). RNAcentral's name for it is "retained intron". The record is from RNAcentral. Lineage: Eukaryota; Metazoa; Chordata; Mammalia; Primates; Hominidae.
CUUGCCCCCGGCCCUUCUCACCAGAGGCCAUUCUUGCUGGUCAGUCACCAGGCUCAGCUUGGAGGCCACAGUCCCUACGGGGGUGUAGAGAAAUCCCCAUGCACUGCAGUGUGUCUUGGGGACCUUUCUCCUGUGAAGAUGCAGAAUGGUGCUGACUGGCUCUUUCCCCCCCAGCUCUACAGUCUGUUGGAGAGGAUCAACCCGGACCACAGCUUCCCUGUCAGCUCGCACUGCCUCCGAGCAGCUGCCUUCUACGUGCGUGGGCUCUUCUCCUUCUUCCAGGGACGCUACAACGAGGCCAAGCGAUUUCUGCGGGAAACUCUGAAGAUGUCCAAUGCUGAGGACCUGAACCGGCUCACAGCCUGCUCCCUCGUGCUCCUGGGCCACAUCUUCUAUGUGCUGGGAAACCACAGGGAGAGUAACAACAUGGUGGUGCCCGCCAUGCAGCUCGCCAGCAAGAUCCCGGACAUGUCGGUACAGCUGUGGUCGUCAGCACUGCUGAGAGGUGAGUGCAAUGGCCACCCCUCUUCCCCAGCCCCAGCCUGGCCCUCCCCAGAGAUCAAGGCUGCUGGUCACGUCCUGCUCAGCCUUAACUCGGACUAGGUCUGCGUGGGCCGCAGCCCCAGUUCUAGCAUGGGUAAGGGGUGCUCCUCAGGAGACCCUGGUUGAG